RNAcentral lists this ribosomal RNA (634 nucleotides) under uncultured bacterium. RNAcentral describes it as "bacterial SSU rRNA". It matches the Rfam family "Bacterial small subunit ribosomal RNA", at positions 829 to 1470 of the family's 1533-position model. The record is from RNAcentral.
GCUAAAGAUUGUCCGUGGCUUAGGGAAACCGAUAAGUAUCCCACCUGGGGAGUACGCCGGCAACGGUGAAACUCAAAGGAAUUGACGGGGGCCCGCACAAGUGGUGGAGCAUGUGGUUUAAUUCGAUGAUACGCGAGGAACCUUACCUAGGCUAGAAUGCGCGUGACCGGCUCAGAGAUGAGCUUUUCCUUCGGGACACAAAGCAAGGUGCUGCAUGGCCGUCGUCAGCUCGUGCCGUGAGGUGUUGGGUUAAGUCCCGCAACGAGCGCAACCCCUAUGGUUAGUUGCCAGCACGUAAUGGUGGGGACUCUAGCCAGACUGCCUGCGCAAGCAGUGAGGAAGGCGGGGACGACGUCAGGUCAUCAUGGCCCUUACGCCUAGGGCGACACACGUGCUACAAUGGACGGUACAGCGGGUAGCUACUGGGCGACCAGAUGCCAAUCUCGAAAAGCCGUUCUCAGUUCGGAUCGGAGUCUGCAACUCGACUCCGUGAAGCUGGAAUCACUAGUAAUCGCGCAUCAGCCAUGGCGCGGUGAAUACGUUCCCGGGCCUUGUACACACCGCCCGUCAAGCCAUGAAAGUCUGGUAGACCUGAAGCUGGUGCUCGUCACAGAAGCCAGUUAGGGUAGAACAG